RNAcentral lists this ribosomal RNA (511 nucleotides) under uncultured Flavobacteriales bacterium. RNAcentral's name for it is "bacterial SSU rRNA". It matches the Rfam family "Bacterial small subunit ribosomal RNA", at positions 228 to 736 of the family's 1533-position model. The record is from RNAcentral. Lineage: Bacteria; Pseudomonadati; Bacteroidota; Flavobacteriia; Flavobacteriales.
AGCAUGCGUCCCAUUAGCUAGUUGGUAAGGUAACGGCUUACCAAGGCAACGAUGGGUAGGGGUCCUGAGAGGGAGAUCCCCCACACUGGUACUGAGACACGGACCAGACUCCUACGGGAGGCAGCAGUGAGGAAUAUUGGACAAUGGGCGCAAGCCUGAUCCAGCCAUGCCGCGUGCAGGAUGACGGUCCUAUGGAUUGUAAACUGCUUUUGUACGAGAAGAAACACUGCUUCGUGAAGCAGCUUGACGGUAUCGUAAGAAUAAGGAUCGACUAACUCCGUGCCAGCAGCCGCGGUAAUACGGAGGAUCCAAGCGUUAUCCGGAAUCAUUGGGUUUAAAGGGUCCGUAGGCGGUUUAGUAAGUCAGUGGUGAAAGCCCAUCGCUCAACGGUGGAACGGCCAUUGAUACUGCUGAACUUGAAUUAUUAGGAAGUAACUAGAAUAUGUAGUGUAGCGGUGAAAUGCUUAGAGAUUACAUGGAAUACCAAUUGCGAAGGCAGGUUACUACUAAU